This 410-nucleotide ribosomal RNA is filed under the name uncultured microorganism. RNAcentral describes it as "bacterial SSU rRNA". It matches the Rfam family "Bacterial small subunit ribosomal RNA", at positions 509 to 917 of the family's 1533-position model. The record is from RNAcentral.
CAGCAGCCGCGGUAAUACGGAGGGCGCGAGCGUUGUCCGGAUUCACUGGGCGUAAAGCGUGCGCAGGCGGCCCGUUAAGACAGGUGUGAAAUCCCUGGGCUCAACCUAGGAAUUGCGCUUGUGACUGGCGGGCUCGAGUACGGUAGAGGGGGGUGGAAUUCCUGGUGUAGCAGUGAAAUGCGUAGAGAUCAGGAGGAACACCGAUGGCGAAGGCAGCCCCCUGGGCCUGUACUGACGCUCAUGCACGAAAGCGUGGGGAGCAAACAGGAUUAGAUACCCUGGUAGUCCACGCCCAAAACGAUGGGUACUAGCCGUUUGGUGCGCGAUAGCGCUGAGUGGCGAAGCUAACGCGUGAAGUACCCCGCCUGGGGAGUACGGCCGCAAGGUUGAAACUUAAAGGAAUUGGCGGG